AGUGAGGCGACAGAUUGAGGGAGCAGUGCCACGUUGACAUCACGAUGCAUCAGCUGGGAACCGUACGCUUUCCAAAACCCAUCAGGCUAAGUCAGAGUACAUGCAAGGUGCCGACAGCGCAGUUCGCACCCUCAUCCCAGCACUCCAAGAAUCAUUCGAAUGGCCGACAUAUCCCUUGCGAUGCCAGACCGACCCGGCCCAACCACCACCCAGCGGCGUACGUGCAUCGAUUUGACGUUGUCAAAGGAUGUGACUGCAGUUGCGAGUGAA
Molecule: non-coding RNA, 270 nt
Organism: Dermacentor albipictus
Lineage: Eukaryota; Metazoa; Arthropoda; Arachnida; Ixodida; Ixodidae
Source: RefSeq, a predicted model, not a curated record